RNAcentral lists this long non-coding RNA (34965 nucleotides) under Citrus sinensis (sweet orange). Its description in RNAcentral is "long non-coding RNA (CSIN_LNC003864)". The record is from RNAcentral. Lineage: Eukaryota; Viridiplantae; Streptophyta; Magnoliopsida; Sapindales; Rutaceae.
AAUUUUUUUUUUUUUAUUUCCUCAAAUGUACUUCUUGUUUCAAAUUUUCCUCAAAUGUACUUCUUGUUUCAAAUUUUUUUUUUUUUAAAUCUCACUUAGAAUUUGUUUCUGUUCUUUGAGGGCUAGUAUAGAUAUGACUGACUCUGAUUUUUGUGACAACUUAUUCUCCAUUUAUUUUGGUAAAUCUCCAUUCUGAUCAUACAGCCUCGUCAGUUUCUUAUCAAAAUAAUUAAAACAUUUUUAACUGCUACCACCAGACUAUCUAAUUAAGUUUUUCCUACCACCAAUUUAAAACUAUCAGAAUACCAUAUUAGUUGUUUAACAUGUAAGUUCCUGCAGACGCCCGUGAGAAUGAAACAACAAUAUCUGUUACGAAUAAUUACCUGCUUACGACACGACUCACUGAUGGUUGAAUAAAUACAUGAACCCUGUAAAGGAAAGCAAUAACUUUUCCAAGUUAAAAACUACAGCACUUAUAUCAAAAUACAGAUAUAAAUUUCUGUAAACUGCCGUCCUAGAGUGUAUAUAUUUGAUCAAUACAUUGUUUAAGUUAAGUACACAAAGCCAUAAAGUAGCAAGAGCAAAUAGAACAGUUAAAAUCUUGGACUGAAGUAUAUAUACUCGGUUUUGUUGUCAUUGCUGCCAUAAAUAUUAAACAAGAAAUUGGUAUUGAAAGUAAAAAGAAUCAUUAGAAUAUGAAAAAUGCAACCAGAAGUUUAGGAAAGGUUCCACAAAGAAAUACUACAAAAUCGUUCCUUUAUAUUUUGUUUAGCAAAGUGGAUGCACUUCAUUUACAGAGUUAUUAAAUACAUAAAUAGUCUGUUCAAGUCUUUGAACCGAGACAUACAAUUUCUAAUACACAUAGGAAAUGAGAAACCCAAUAGAGCCCAGCGUUAACAGUUGAACAUUCAUAGUCUUGCAAAUACGGUGCAUUUCACAAAUUAAAGGAACUGCUGCAUUAGUGCCUAAAUGACCAUAAACGCCUAAGACAAACCACUGUUCGCAAAUACUAGAUCACUAAAUUUCAAAAAAAUUAAAGAUAAUCUUAAGGCAUAUUUAGGAUUGACUCCCCACAGUAAGAUGAAAAAUGGGAAUUGGCUUUUGCCUGUUUUUCUUUGUGUUAAUUAUUUUGCAAACUACAAUUUAUACUACAAAAUUACUCUUGAAGAGUCAGAGAGAGAGAGAGAGAGAGAGAGAGAACAAAAAAUAAAAAUAUUUCUUUUGAAUCAUCAUUGUAGUCUUCAUGGCAAACAAUCAAAGAGCCACUUGAAACUUUGAAUUCCCUUUCAGAGAAGUAACUUGAAUCCUAGUAUUGACAUCUUUGCUUUCUGUUCUUACACCAAAUCCAACAUCUAUGAUGAAGCCAAGAUUUCUUCUCAACAAAAGGUUGCAUGUCAUAUUAGCAAAUUGUAAGUGAUGUGUAUUGUCACACAUAAAUGAUUUUAUCAGAUUUGAACAUUAUCAAAUUUCAUAAAAUUCUAUGGCAGUAAUAAUUUAUGUUCUUUAUUUAUCAAAUAUAUCAUGUUUAUGACUCAAAACAUUAUAUCGAUAAUCAUGUCUAUUAUGAUUCCCCUCAGAUAUGCAAUUUUCCAUGAUCCACAAGACAUGCAUUGUCAAGAUGAUUGCUUGGCCUAAUGAAGUUAAUACGUUAACUAUAUACUGUCUUCAUAAAAGACAUCCAUUUCAUAAAGAUUUUAGCAAAAGAAUACUCUGAAAAAUCACAGAAAAUCAUUGGACGCUCAUCUGUAUGAUUCAAUAAUUAAAACUAGAAGAAAAAAUGAAAAGACUACUCCUAGAUUUUAGCUAUCCAUAUUAUAUGAUGCUACUAAUUGACUGUGAAACAGACUUACUUGGCUAUCUGACGCAGAGACCGUAAGGCAGGUGCAUAGAGGUCAUUACAAAUGCAAAUAACCUACAUGAGCUUCAGUCAUUAUAAUACUCAAAAAGUUAUCAUCAGUAUACAUCAUUUAUGAAAAUUUCAAACUCACAGGUCUUAACAGUGAUGCUUUUUUACGCCCCUUUUUUUUGGAUAUUUUUUCUGAUUGAUCUUCUUUAGCAACAUUUUCCUUCGCGGUGUUGGACUUUCUUUCAGCAGAAACCUAAACAAAAAGUGUUAAUUGAUUUCGACAGAUGAUAAAACUAAUUAGAAUCAAUUAUUAAUCACAGAGCAAAGAUCAACAUGGUAUAAUUUUUGACGAAGGAGCACAGCUCAAUCUUACUUAGAAAAACAUUACUAUCAGAAUUUAAGAACAGAAAAUACAAACAUAUUAAAACAUAUGUAUCUAUAUUAUACUAUAUCUAUUAUGCAGUGCCAUUCCAAAUCUUCUAGAAAGUCUAGAACAUAUCUUCACAAUUUUCAAGACGGGUGUAUGUUAAGAACUUGAUCAAAUGAUCAAUGCGAGAGUGGGCAUUACUUAAUCCUACCAUCAGGGGCACUCCGAAAGAUAAGGUUAGGCUCUGAAACAUGUAAUAAGCAUUAUGGAGAGUCGAUGAUACUUCUAAUUUCCAUUAAUAGGCAUCAGCUUGUUAGACACCUUUUAGUGGUAGGAUUUCUUAACAAUGAUUGAAUAUAUAAGAAACCAUUGAGUCUAGUUAGUACUCAAAGAAUAACAUACCAGCACCAUUGUUGGAAAAGUUACCAUAGGUAGAUGGGAAAAUUAAUUGAAUAUCAUCAAAGACUAAAUGGAUGCCCCUAGUGUGCAUCACAAAUAAAUAAGAUAACAAAAGUAGAAAAACAAGAAAAAUACCAUCUUUAAGAUAACUUCCACCGCACCCUUGCCAUCACCAAGAGCUCCAUCUAUUUCAUCAAUCACCUAUUCAGAAUCAAGUAAGUGUGUAUCCAGACCCGUACUGAAUAACCAAGAGACAAUUGAAGGAAAAUAAAACCAACCAGACACUUGGGCCUUGAGUCAGCCAUGACAGAGUUCAUCUGAACUACAUCAAGGAUUUUGUUUUCAAUAGUAGACGAUGACCGAUCAUCACUAGCAUUAACCUACAUAAAAACAACAAGCUAAAAUAAAAUGCAAGGGUACCUGAAGUCACAAAAAGGGAAAUGAAAGAAUAAAGUAUAUCAACAUAAAUCCAAUUAUACAUAUAAAGGUAGAGGGUUAGAAUAAUCUGUUCCAGCAUCCUAUUUCAAACUAAUAUUCACAAUAAAAUCAUAAUAUCUUAUGGUAGCUACAAAAAUACCUACUACAAUGAAGAAUCUAUAGAAUAUUAACAGAACAAUACCUCAUCGGAAGUUUAGGGUUAAAAUUGAGCCUUGCAACUACAAGCAAUAUUUUUGGUCUACUUACCCCCUUCCUUCUUUUUUUCUGAAUAAAAAUUAGACCCUUAAACAAGCACUCUUUUCCACACAUCUAAAUUCAAUAAUUCCCAAUUCCCAAUUGGUCGCAACAAUAACAGACAGGCAAAGAAAGUUAUUAACAAAGUCAUUGCAAAUGAAAAACCAUAAAGCUGCAAGCUAGCUGUUAAUUGUGUUUGUUGAGUAAAAGUAGAUGAAGAAACCUCCACAACAUGGUAACCACAGUGCUUAGCAGCCACAUGCGCAAGUGUAGUCUUUCCAAGUCCAGGUGGACCACAAAGUAGAAGAACCUGCAAUGACCAAAGAUUGAGUUAAUAAUUAAAUCUGAGAUGACCAAGGAUUGAGUUAAUAAUUAAAUUCGCUCCUAAAGGCUGACAAAGGAACAAAUAUAAUGAGUAUGAUACAAAAAAGGCUGAUAAGGCAGGAGCAAAUGUAAUAAUAUGCAACAAAAAUUUAAAUGCUUUUAGUCAAACAAUCUAAAAAAAUCCCAAAGAAAACUAAAUAAGUAAACCAAACCCCUAAAUGCUAGCAUAAACAUGCUUAUGGAUGUGUGAUAUUCAAGCCUCCAACAGGAGAAGAUAUUACGUACAUACAUUCAGAUAAGCAGAUAUUUUUAAAAAGUGGACAGAGUUAAAAGGAAAGAAAAACACAAGCAAACAAUGUUUUUUUUUUCUUUUUUGGUCUUUUAGCGCAUCAGAAUUCAUCAUUUUUUGUCUUUUGGCUACAUCUGCAUUUUAAAAAGAUGCAGAUGUCCACAUUAGAUAAGAACUGUGUAAAUAUUAUUUUGACAGUAAUCCACUUCCUUCCCCCAUAUGAGCAGGGUACUCAAAUUUCUUGUACCACCACAAGAGAUUUUACCACGAGCAAAAAUCUAAAUAUCAUGCACAAGGAACACAUACCUUUUUCUAUUUGUAAUGCCACAGUAAAUUAGUAAACCUAAGAACUUAAGUUCGAUUGAGGAAUCAUCAACUUUUACAUCAUUAAUACUUAGUGUCUUUGAAGCAAUUGAACUGAAGCUACUGUGACUGAGGAAAAGAAACUAGAAAUCCAGUACAUUGCGGUACUUAUACAUAUAAAGAAACUGUGUUAUAUGUUACUAUUUGGAUACAUACAGCUGCAGGGGAAAGAACCUCUAUGCGUAUGUGUAGUGGUACUCUUUUAUACACUAAGAUAUUACUUUGUUUGUUAUCAAAACAUAUUGCAUCAAACCAUGCAAUUCAUGAUAGAACUUUUUAAUAGAUAGAAUAAAUGAGGAUUGCCAUAUGUAAUGUAUAAUAUAGGUGUUCUAAAAACUAAAUAGAGUGAAUGAGAAGAUUAGUGAUGCAUAAGUACUAAAGUCCAUGAUCUUCCACCUCAACUGACAGAAGCUCAUUGAAAUGAAAUUCAGUUAACAAGCUAACCAUUCCAACUUUAAGCAAACUGCAUGAAGAAUGUAAUGUAAUUGAUGCAAUCCACUAUGACAGAGGCACUACAAGAUAUUUAUCAACUCAAAAAAAAAAAAAAAGAUUUCUCAGAAUUAUAGCUGACCUUUUGUUCUGGGGGACCGGUGGACCGGGUUUUCUUAUGCCAUGAGUCCUGAAUGCCCUUUGAAUUACUAUUUUCAUACUCCAAAUUAUUAGAAUUUCUGAAAUUUCCAUUACUCCAUCUAUUUCCUCUGUUCUUCCUUGUAAAACUAGAAUCAUUUUGUUUUUUGUUUUGAGAAAUAGUAGAAUGUCGUCUUAAAGCAGACAGAACCUCCUCUGAUGUGCUCCUAAUUUCAGAUCCAAAUACACAGGAAUCCCAUUGUUUCAACCACAGGAGAACCUAGAGUAAGACAACUAUCUAAGGAUGAGUAAUGACAACAAAAUUAAAAAGAAAUUGCAAACUCAAAUAAUUAUAUGUUUUCAGUUUCAUAGGAUUUUUAGAAAAUAAAUCUACAUACCUCACGAUUUGUCUGUUCAUCACUGAGAAGCUCUGUAAAUGAAUUUGGAGCAUAUUUGUCCACCCAAAGUUGUUCAUGCACCACUGGUUUCUCAGGAAGACUUCUGUCGCUCUGACCUUCAGAACUAGAAUUCAAGGCCUUCAGUAGCACAAAAAGGAAUUAUAAACAUUCCAAUUCACAGGAUGUAUUAAACAAAUAAAAUAAUGAAUCCUUGAUGGUAACAAGUAACAUAACAUUUUGCCAUACCGUAUUCAUAAAGGGGGAAAAAAAAAGGGAGACCACAGAAAACUUAUGGGAAGAAAACCUUGGUUCACUUCAUUUACUAGACGGUUAAGCAUUUGUCCCUCCAAGGGUCUCCCACUCAAAGGAUUAGCGACACCAAUGGACCAGUAUGGUGCCAUCAAGCCUCAGUUCCAGUUAGGUUUAUUAGGCAUUCUUAAAACUCAAUUCAUAAGUCAAUAGACACCUGAUAGUGAACGGUUGAUUAGAUUGUGUAUCAGAAGCACAGACAAGGUUGACACAUAUGUGGGCUGCAUUAUCAAAACAGCAGCAUAGAUUCAAACAGAAUUUCAAUUGAUCAAAGUGAAACAAGAAUGAUUAUUUUAGUUGCUUUCAUAGUCACAGCCAAUUUCAACUACAGUCCCUAAAUUUCUCAAAUAAAUAUGACUCCAGCUGGAACCAAGUUCAUCCUUAUGCAUUUGUUUUAUUUCUCAAUGCUAGCCCCCAGCCCGCACAGACAUAUAUAUUCAAAAAUACAUGCUACAAUCAUGCGCACGCACGCAUACAUAUUCAUAUGAUAAUUCCAAUUACAAAAGAAAAUUUUUGAAAAAAAUUGUUUCCAGGAAUGCACACCUUGUUGAAAGCCUCUUGCUCCACCUUUUGCAAUAGAACAUCAAUUGGUUCAGAAGUAAGAGCUGCAGAGUAGAUCAACCACCAAAAUGUUAACUGUAAUGAAAUACAAUUGAUAUUUAUAUUUUAAUUAUAAAAAAGAAAGAAAGAAAGGAAAUGUCAAGGGUACAAUUUGAGUGCGCUCUGACGUCCAAUUUUUUCACUCUCUCCUCAACUCCAGAACUAGAAAUCUUCACAUAAACCCUAUCGCCACCACUUGGCGCCGUUACCGGCAGGCAAUCCCCGUCAAUCUCGGAGGCGUACCUCGACACAAACUUCUCCUCCACUUCAACUCUCGCAUCAUCUCUGGCCUGCGGUGGCGGAGGCGAGUAGCGGAGCCAAUCCUCAUCGUCGUUAUCGACAAUUCGGCUUCUCUUCUCAUCGAAUUGGGGUUCGUCCACGUCAAUUGGGGAUUUAGGAGUAUCGGAUCGGGGACGCUUGUGGCCGUUGAUCUCGAGAGGAAGUGAAUCUGGUGGGACCGGUUCGGGCGGGUCGGGGUCUUGUUCGGGUGGGUCGAGGUCUUGGUAGUUGGCUUCAAGCAGUUCCAGUUCUUCUGGGAGAGGAAUGUGCAUAUCCAUGUCCAUGUCCAUUUGGUUUAGCGGGUUUUUUAGGGUUUGUUAGGUGAAUUGUGAUUUGUGAAUGUGAUAAAAAUUUAUGAGAGAGAUGAAAUGGAGGUGGAGGUGGAGGUUGUUUUUGGCGGGAAAGUUGGGGAGUAGAGCAUUGGCCUUUAAUGGUUUUACAAAAUUACCCUUUAGUAGAUUUGCUGUGUGGAGUUAGCCCGUUUCUUGUAUACGUAGUACAGAAGUACCUGUGCUCCCACGGCUCAAUCCUUAUGUUUCACACAAAACACCAAUAAUAAUAGGGUGUGUUUGGCACACUGUAUUGUAUUAUAUUGUAUUGUAUUAUUUUAAUAUUAGUGUAUUGUAUUAUAUUAUAUUGUAUUAGCAUUGUAUUAUAAUAAUACUGUACAAUAUUUGGUGCUACACUCUAUUAUUAUUAUUAUUAUUAUUAUUAUUAUUAUUAUUAUUAUUAUUAUUAUUAUUAUUAUUAUUAUUAUUAUUAUUAUUAUUAUUAUUAUUAUUAUUAUUAUUAUUAUUAUUAUUAUUAUUAUUAUUAUUAUUAUUAUUAUUAUUAUUAUAGAAAAAGGAAAAGUCAAAAGAAAAGGAAAAAUCAAAAGAAAAAGAAAAAAAAAAGUAAAGCUAAUGCGUCAGUUGACGCAUUAGCUCACACCCUUAUCCCAAUGCAAUUCCUUUCCAAACAUAGCCUUGAUAUUAUAUUAAUGUAAACAGUGUUAUAAUACACCAUAAUCACAUGCACCAAACACACCCAUAGUAUAUAACAUUGGGUAGAAUUCAUCCGUAACGAUCAGCUAGUAGGGAGAGGUAUUUAAAAAAAAAAAGCAAACUUUCAUUAGUUAAGCGAAAAGGUACAACAAAUGAAGUGGGCAUGUGCCAUCCACUGGAUAUCAGAGGCGGAUACAGUGCAGGACCAGCAGGGCUCAAGCCCCCAUUGAAAAAAAAAAUUACCCCUUUUUGUUUAAAAGAAAAAAUAAUAAAUUUUUAAAUAAUGCCUAUCAAUUUAUCAAAUAGUCUCGUUCUUUCAGUUUUUAAAGCUUUAGAGAGAGCAUUUUCAGUAAUGAAAUUUGUGAAGAAUGAACUUCGGCAUUAGAUAGGAGAUGAAUGGAUGAAUGAUAAUUUGAUUGUUUAUAUAGAAAAAUAUGUAUUUAAUAGUUGAUAAUGAGUCAGAAUAUGAAAUCGCGUAGAAAACAAUUGUAAAUGUGUUAUAAAAAAUUUUAUAUAUCCAAAUUUCAGUUUUUACAUUUUGUUGUUAUUUUAUUUAAACUCCGGUAAAUUAUUUUUCUAGAUCCGCCACUGCUGGACAUGUUCAUUAACCUUUAGAGCCAUCUUGGCCAAGUCAUGCGCUACACCAUUACAUAUCGGCAAAAUAAACUGCACCUUAAUAUCUUUAAACCUUUGCAUUUAGUUUUGAAUUUAUGAGAUAAUCCAUGAGAGUUCUAAGUUUCUUAUAAUCAUUCUCGAAAUUUGAUUAACCACCUCUGCACUAUCACUCUCGAUUAUCAAUUACCAUAUUGUAGUUGCUUCUGCUACUUCCAUUCCCAAGUAUAUUGCUUCAGCUUCUGCAUAUACUAUGUUAUCAUGGAACUUGGACGUUUUUAUAGCACCAGCAACAAAAUCUCCAUUUGAGUCUCUAAUUAUGAUUCCAAGUCCUACUUUCUGCUCUUGCAUUCAGAUUGCAGCAUCCGUAUUAACUUUAAAACGCCCUUCAGGAGGAGUUUCCAUAUUUGCUCUCUGUUGGACUUUUGUCUACCUAUAGUUUGCAUAUGGGGAGCUUUGUUUUUUCUGUAGACUUCAACUAUUGCUAGGGGUGGGCAUCAGAUAGGAUUCGGAUUUGAAGGCAAAUCCAAUUGGAUGAAAUUUAUGUGAUUCAAUCGGAUUUGGUUCGGAUCGGAUCGGAUUCGGAUCAAUUUGAAUCAUCCGAUUGGAUCUGCACUAUAAACCAAAAAAAACUGAAAAUUAAAAAAAUAAGCUAAAGCUAAAGUGAGUGCUAAACUACUAACUCUAACUCUCUAAGGACUAAGCCUAAUUCACCACUCACCAGUUCACAAAUCACAGUGUUCACUCACUCUCAUAUCUUAGUCACAGCCAAAUACCAAGAACCAACUCAAACUGUCAAACAUUAACAAAAGACACAGCUACUCAGCGAGCAGCCAAGCAAAAGCAAGAUGCCAAAACCAGCUUCAUCCCGUCAUCCAUCUUGAACCCAUUAACCCACCGGCGACCCGUGAGUCCAACGACCACGCCAAAACUCAGCUACCGCCAGCUCGCCGACACCAAUCGACUGGAAACUAGCCGAUUUCAAGUGAAACCUAGGCGAACAGAACCUAGUUAAUCGACCUAAACCCAGCUGACAGCUGCCUCUUCAACCAAUAAUCAUGUCCAGCCGGCCAGUUGCCAUGCCAAACAUCGAUAGUCCACUUCCACUAUUCCCGAGCAUCUAGCAACUUUAUUCAUGGUAAGCAAUUAAACCCAACCCAUGACAAUUGAAAGUUGAAACCUAGAAUUUCAUGCUUCUUUUAGUUGCUUGGAAAAUGCCCCCAAACAGUUUGGGCCAAACCCGAGAGCAAGCGGCUAGCCGCUUGGAAACUACCCCCAAUCAGCCGCUUGGUCACGGAUUUAAGGGUUUUUCUUCCCCUUUCUCUUGCUUUCUUCAACCUCUCUUCAUUCUCUCUCAAGGCCUAACACAUCUAUAUCUAUGCGAUUUGUUUGAAACUUGGAAAUUAAAAAAUUUAUUAUUCUUGAAUUGUUCUAUUUUUUCCUUUUAUUUUUUCUAAUGUAUGAUUAUUCAUUUGUAACAUUAGUUGAGAAAGAUAUGAAUAUGUAUUGAUGUAUACCUAUAAAAUAUAAAUAUAUAUUGUCUUUUGAGAAAGACAACAAAAGAUGAAUUUAUUUGUUCAUGUAUUGAAACUUUGAAAUAUACGAUUUGUUCAUAUUUUCAUUCUCUCCAGUCUCCACAAUUGAAAUUUUUUCUUUUAAUUUUUUCAUUAUUUCAUUUUCAUUAGCUGAAUUUUAUUAAUUAUUAAUAAACUAAGAAACAAUAUCGUUUCAUCAAAAUUAAAAAUUCAAAUUUAUUAAUUAUUAAAUAAUCAUCGUUAUUUAAUGUAUGAUUAUUCAUUUGUAACAUUAGUUUAUUAAUUAUUAAUAAACUAAAGAACAAUAUCAAUUCUUUAAAACUAAAAAUUCAACUUCAUACCGUACGUUGUGGUAGUAGAAUUAUUUUAUGAUAAGUUAAUGUCAUUAAUUGCUUUAUUUCCAAAUAAUAAUUUGAUGAAUGAAUUUGUAUAGCUAGUAACCUAGGCUAAAGAGAUUAUAUAUAGUCAAAAGUUAUAUUUAUUUUUUAGUUGAAAAUUCAUAAACGGAAGUUACAAAACAAUGAUGAUUGAUAUGGUUUUUGUAUUUUCAAAUGAUUGGACAUUCAAAAUCAAAUUCCAAUGAUGAUGAUGAAGUUGAAAGUGUACAAGUACCCACUAAAAAGACAAAUACAAAGCGGAAGAAGCCAACUCAGAGACGACCAAUGAAGAAAAGAUCUGAGACAUGGAAUUAUUACACUGUACUUGAGGACAAUCAAUAUAAAGCAAAGUGCAACUAUUGUGGCAAGAUAUACCAGUGCCAUCCUAGGUUUGAUGGGAUUAGCAAUAUGGGAACUCACUUAAAAGUAUGUGAAGCAUACUUGAACGUGAAGCAAGAGCAAGAUGAAAGACAACAAAAAUUGGCAGCCGAGAGUGGUGAAGGAAAUGCAAGUAAUAUGGUUUUGGCCAAAGGAUGGAGUAAAGAAGCUUGUAGAAGAGCAGUCAGUAAAAUGAUUAUCUUGGGUGAGUUGCCGCUUAAUUUUGUUGACAACAAAGGGUUUAGGAAUUUUUGCAAUGUAGUUGUUCCUCAGUUUAUUUUGCCAUCUCGGAGAACUAUUAGUAGCGAUGUUAUGGAUAUGUUCUUGGAAGAAAAAUGAAUUUUGAAGAGUUUGAUAUGUAAGAAUAAGCAUAGAGUGUCUCUUACAACUGACAUAUAGACUUUAGUUCAAAAUAUGAGUUAUAUGGUAAUCACAGCUCACUUUAUUAAUAGUGAUUGGUGUUUACAUAGGAAGGUUAUCAGUUUCAGCGUGAUUGAAGACUAUAAAGGGAAGUCGAUUGGCAAAAAGAUUGAGCCUUGUUUGCUUGAAUGGGGAAUAGAGAGGGUGUGUGCAAUAAUUGUUGAUAAUGCGUCGGGCAUUGAUAUUGCUAUUGAUUAUGUGAAGAACCAAAUGCUUAUGUGGAAGAAUGUUGAUGCACUUGUGUUGCAGGGUGAUUACAUGCAUGUGCGUUGUUGUGCACAUAUCUUAAAUUUGAUUGUCACUGGGGGGUUAAAAGAGUUGCAUGCCUCAGUUGCCGGUACUCGGAAUGUUGUGAAGUAUGUGAGAUCAUCCACUUCAAGAUUGAAAGCAUUUAAAUAGUGUGUAGAUCAUGUGAAAGGCCCUAAUGGAACUGUGGUUUUGGAUUGUAUCACUAGGUGGAAUUCCACAUAUUUAAUGUUGAUGACUGCUUUGAAAUUUCGGGAGGCAUUUGAGAGAAUGGCAGAAGUGGAUAAACCGUAUGAAGCAUACUUUAGAUUGGAAGAAAACCUGAAAAAAAUGGUGGGGGCCACUUGAGCUUGAAGAUUGGGAACAUGCCGAAAGAAUUGUGAGGUUUUUAAAGAUUUUUAUGAUGCUACAUUGACUUUUUCAGCCUCUUUGAGUGUCACUUUUAAUCUUUGUUACGAUACAAUUGGCUUAAUCGAGAAUUCAUUGAGUGCAUUAGAAAAAAAGCAAAGAUGUUUAUGUGCAUUUGAUGGCUUCUAGUAUGAGGGAAAAAUAUGACAAAUAUUGGGAGUGCACGGAGAAAAUCAACAAAAUCUUGAUUAUUGCCUCAAUACUUGAUCCGCGUUGCAAAAUGGAUUUUUCUAAACAUAUUUUUAGUAUGAUUUUUUCAAUGAUAGUGUGAAGAUUGAAGAAAUGGUCGCGGUGAUGAAAGACUUGUUGAAUUCACUUUUUGAUGCAUAUAGUGGAUGGAACUCCUCACCACCAUUGCCUAGUGAGAGUUUUCCUAAUGGCAGCGCCAGUGGUGGCGGUGGCGAUUCUAGUUCUUUUCCGCACCUUGUAGAUGACACGGAUCGGCAACAAGGGUACAUAAUGGAACAUGGUGAUGAUACUUUACGAGUUGCUCACCCUUUUCUUGGAUAUGCUAAGAAAGUUUUAAUUCAAAACGAGGGUGAUAACUCUAUGAAAUGAGAGUUAUUAAUGCAAUUCUAGACUUAAAUCAAGACCACUUAGAAAGUAAAUGAUGUGUUUUUAUUAUAUUUUGGUUAUAUUUUGCAUAAACAUCCAUUUUAGUUGAGUCUUAAUAAAUUUUGCUUGAUUCAAAGUAAUUUGUGUUCAAAACAUGUGCAUAAUUGUAGGUUUUCAGAAGUUCAUAAUUCAUGAAGGGAUGCUGAGAUAUUAGGCUAGCAAGAAGAAGAAAGAAUAUGGCCACAAAAGAAGUGAAACACAACCGGGAACAAUGCAGUGUUAUAGCCAUUGCUGGAGCAACCAUUGCUGUAGCAAUCCUGGAACACCGAGGGAGAAAACUUAGCGCGGGUUAGCUACAGAAUUGUGAUCUGCAGUUUCCUAAUUUGACUCAUGUAUGCUCGAGACUUUUGUUACCCUAGUUUUCAGUUAUAAAAAGAGGCGCACAUCACAUAAAACGGCAGAAAGAAAUUAACAUUGAGGAAGAUCAAGAGAAAAAAAAAGAUCAAAAUUCAAGGGAACCGAUGCUGCAUCAUUGAAGAAUCCAGCAGAGUUAUUUGGAUUCACUAUCUAUCGUUCUUCACUUAUUCUUUCUUCACUCUUUGAUUAAACCAAUGUAUUUCGUGACCAAUAUAUUGUUGUUUGCUUUUCUCUUUCAAAAUAUGAACUAAACUUGAUUUUAGUUGAGUGACAAAUGAUCUAAUGCGUUCUUAACUGUUCUUAUGAGUUGCUAUGUCACUGCUGUAGCAUUUUACUCUAGUAGCUAUUAUUAUAACUGUUAUUUCGGUUGACUACUCAUUUAAUGGUUCAAGUUAAGAUAGAGCCGCAAAAUGGCAUGUCUUAAUGGAUAUUAUUAGAGUAAUACUUGAUCUUAAUUUAAGUUUUCUAGAUUAAGUUUAUCUUGAAUCUCAUAAGGGCCAUACUUGAAGUUAAGAUUUGUGAUAACUUAGACAUAGGUACUCACCUUAUAAGGUGGAGAGAAUGGAUGUUCAUAAUGCCAUGCCAUAGGUAGAAUAGCAAUUGGUCAUUGCUAAGAUACUUACAGGUAUGAGAAUUCCAAUAGACGAUAGUUGAGGAUGCAAAAUAAAUUCUGCCCAAUGCUAUAGAAAUUGUUGUAGCAACUGCUGUUAACUUGAUAAAAAUAGUCAGCCCAUAAAGAGAGUUUGAUCAUUCAACUACCUUAUUCUCAUUUGAUUCUUCGACACAUUUUUAUUUAAUUUAUUUCAUUACUGCAUUGUUUCAUUUUAUUCUCUCAUAAUUAUCAAUUUUAAUAGCAACCAACUUUACAUUUGUUCCUCUCGGAAUUAAGGUAGAUUGCACUAUUGUGAUUGCUGUAACAUUUAUAGUAACAUCAAUCCAUGUGGAGACGAUCUUAAAUAUUCAUCACUUUAUUACUUAUUGUGUACACUUGCACAUUGACAUCAAUAACAUUUGAUUAAAAAAAUAACCAACAGAGGGAAAGCUUGUCACAACCGAGGUGGAAAGAUACUUACUUGACUGAUUGAAGAUCCUAGUAAUGAUAAACUAAAUGUUUUAUUAUGGUGGAAGGUGAACGGGUUGAAGUACCGAUAUUGCAGAAAAUAGCAAGGGAUAUCCUUACAAUUCUGGUAUCCAUUGUGGCUUCGAAGUCCGCUUUUAGCACUGGGGGUUGUAUCAUUGACAAAUAUAGGAGUUCUUUAACUCCCACUAUGAUUGAAGCAUUGAUUUGCACUGAAAAUUUGUUGCAGUUUAAACUUUUUGCCACUCCCAUUUACAACCUUAAUCAAGAGUUGAAAGAUCAUAUAUAUCAAAUGGAGUUACAAGAAGGUAACUUUUUAUAUUACAUUUUAUAUAUAAUACCUUUUAAAUUUAUUAUAACACAUUUUUUAUAUGACUCAUGCAUUAAUUAUAAGUUAUUAUGUUUUUUUCAUUUUAAAGAGUAUGUACAAUCACAAGCUUCAACAAUUACAACGAUGGGUGUUAGUACUCGUCAUGAUAUUUGAAUAGGUAACUCUUAAAUUUAAUAGAUCUUUUGGUUUCAAGGUAUUAUAUUUAUAAUUGUUUUACUUUUGGUUUUAAGUCAAUUGUAACAUGAUAAUUGAUUUGAUCUUAUGUUAGGAAAGUUGAAGUUGGUAGUUGGAAAGCAAAAGUUAAGGACUCAUCAAAGUGUGUUGUGAGUUUAAUUUGGUGUUAUUGUGCUUUUGGUUUGAAUAACUUGUAGUCUAUCUAAAUGUUUUUGGAUGAUAAUUUUUAUUUUGCUUUAUUUUAUUGUUGGAUGAUAUAAUGAUAAUAAUUAUUUUGUGAUUUUGUGUUGUUUAUUUAUUUGGAAACUUAGAGUAAUGUUUAAUUGUUUAUUUUGUGUUGUUUGUUUGGAGACUUGGAAUAAUGUUUAUUUUGUGUUGUUUAAUUGGAGACUUAGAGUUGGAGCAAAGUUUAUUUUGUAUUGUUUAUUUAGAGACUUGGAGCAAUGUUUAUUUUGUGUUGCUUAUUUGGAGGCUUGGACUUGGAGUAAUGUUUAUGCACCUAAAUUGUAAGAGCAUUACUAAUUAAAUGAAAUGGGAGUGUUUGUACAAAAUGAAUGCAUAUGAGAAUAUAAAUGGGCCGUUGAUUAUAGAUUAUUAGAUUUGAUUACUUAAAUGUUUUCAUUUUAAUGGCUUAUAUUUUUUUUUUUUUUUGUGAAUAGAAACUUUGUAUCGGCUUGUUUUCUUGGUAUAUGUCAAUGCCAUAUUGUCAAGGAAACAAUACAAUAUACAUUGUCAUUUGUCAGCUUGUUUUCAUUUUCUUUUUUUUAAUGGCUAAUAAUUUCCAUUAAUUAUAGAUUUCAUAAAUUUUUUGUGAGAAUUGUGAAAAAGGUCCAAAUCCGAUUUCAAUCCGAAUUAAUCUGAAUCCCAAAUAUAAUCUGAAUCUGAAAAUUAAUCUGAAAUCCAAACUCAUCCGAUCCGAAUCCGAGUAAUCCAAAAUUUUCAUCCGAUCCGAAUAAUUCGGAUCGGAUGAAAAUUCAAAUUGAAUUCGGAUGAAUUUUUUUUCAAUCUGAAUUAUCUGAAAUCCGAUCGGAUCCGAAAUUGCCCACCCCUAACUGUUGCUUCAGCUCUAGGCACUGGAAUUCUUAGAUCCUCCUUUCCUUUUUCAAAUAUAAAGAGGUUUCUUGAGUGCCAAUUGGCCCAACACAAAGACACAAAAAGCACCACAACUCUAGUGUUUCUCUUCUCUGCUAUUGCUUGCAUGACAGUUAACAAAUUUUGGUUCCCCAUACCAUCUAGAUCGUCUUUGAAACUAGUCUAAUUCCACACCUUUUGGGAGAACUUGCACUCUAUAAGUGCAUGAAAAAUAUUUUCACCUUUCUUUCCACAUCUUUAGCACCAUGGGUCUUGUAAAACUUUCUUUUCCACAAGUUUCCAGCCGUAGGCAAUAAGUCUUGGGCUGCUCUCCACAUAAACACCUUCACUUUCUCUAGAAUUUCCAACUUCCAUAUUGCAUUCCAUUCUAUUGGACUUGCUCUUGACAAGCUUGGUUGGUCUUUAAAUUUUAGGCUCAUUGCAACUUGGUACCCACUUUUAACAUCAUACUUACCUUGCUUAUCAUAAGCCCAUACCAUUUGAUCUGGUUUUUAAGUUCUUGGGAAAGGGAUCUUUAGAAUUUUCUCUGCAUCUUCAUAAUCAAAAUGUUGCCUAAUCAUGCUUUCCUUCCAUUUAUGCUCCUUGUCAAUCAAAGUGGAGACAAUAGAUUCUAGAGGUAAAUUUGCUUUGGAGAGAAUUUUGAAGGAGGUAAGUCUGGGGAUCCAUCUACUCUGAUAAACCUUCACCUGUUUCCCACAUCCAAUUUUCCAUCACAUCCCAUUUUGAAACACUUGUCUUCCCCAUAAAAUACUUCUCCAAAUGAAAGAAAGAUUAUAUCCAAGUUUAACUUGCAUAAAACUUGAAUUCUUAAAAUAUCUUGCUUGCAACACUCUGGCCAUUAAGGAUUCUGGGAAAUGAACCACCCUCCACCCUUGCUUUGCCACUAAAGCUUGGUUAAAGCAUGUUAGAUCUCUUAAUCCCAUACCACCCUUACCUUUUACUUUACACAAUCUGUCAUAUCUAGCCUAGUGAAUGUGUCUUUCUUUGAUCCCUACCAAAAAUAAACAAUUGCUUUCUGGAUAUCUAUACAAAGACCUAUUAGAAGUUUGAAAACACUCAUAGCAUAGGCUGGAAUUGCUUGAGCUAUAGAUUUAAUGAGUACCUCUUGUCCUCUACUUGAGAACAAUUUCAUGUUCCAGAUAGAGAUCUUGUUUAAAAUUCUUAACUUGAUGUCAUUGAAAAAAUUCACAUUUUUCCUCCCUACCAUGGAUGGUAGCCUAAGAGACUUUGCAUGCCUCGAAAUAACAUGAAGAUGAAAGAUGUUUUUUAUUGUGGCUACUUGAGUUGUAUGAGUAUUUCCACUAAAGAACAUUGAAGACUUUUCAAAAUUGAAAAUUUGGCCUGAUGCUACAGCAUAGCACGCAAAGAUAGCUUUUUGGUUAAUGCAAUCUUUAGUGGCGGCCCCUAUAAAAAUAAGACUAUUAUCUAUAAAAAGAAGGUGUAAGAUGGAUAGUUGUCUGCUAAAUUUUAAGCCAUGGAUGAAUUGCUUUGAUUUUGCUUGCAACAAUAAGUUGGAAAAAACCUAUGCACAAAGAAUAAACAAAUAUAGUGACAGAGGACAGCCUUGUCGCAGUCCUCUUUAGGGAUAAAUCAAACUCUUAGCUACUCUAUUUAUCAAAAUAGAAAAGAAAGAGGUUGAUACACAUCUCAUUAUCAAGUCCACCCAUUUUAUUGAGAAGCAUAAUCUAUGCAUGACACUUUUUAAAAAAAUCUCACUCUACCCUAUCAUAAGCCUUGUUAAUAUCAAGUUUCAAAGCUACUAACCCAUGUUUUUUCAUUUAUUCAACCUAUUUUAUGAAGGCAUUCAUAACCGAUGAUAAGGUUAUCAGAGGUAAGUCUCUCAGAAAUGAAAGCAUUUUGAGUAGGUGAGAUAAUAUAAUGUAAGAUUUGGUUUAGCCUAUUAACUACUGUUUUUUGCUACAAUUUUGUAAAUAACAUUACAUAAGCUAAUUGACCUAAACUCAGCUACUUUUCUAGGCUUUCCAUCAGGGCCUACUACUUUGGUAGGACACAUUUGAACUAAGGCUGUUGUGACUUCCUUUUCAGCAAAAGGCUGGUUUAGCUCUUCAUUCAUUUUCCCUAUCACCCUUUUUGGCACAUCCUAUAAAGUUGCAUUAAUUUGUUCUUGUGAGAGCCUUGAUGAUGAACAAGUUUGCAAAGUAAUCACAAAAAUUUCUCUCAACAUCUGCAACUUCAUUUAUCCAUUCAUCACGUUCAUCUAAAAUCCCUCAUAUCUUGUUUUUCCUCUUUCUAAAAGAGGCUUUUGCAUGGAAAUUUUUUUUUAUUUUUCCCCCUCUCUUAGCUAAUUCGCUCUUGACCUCUGUUUCCAAUAAAUUACCUCAUAAAAAAGAAAAGCAUUGAUUUGUCUUUCAAUGCCUUUAAUCUUAUCCCCAUCUACAUAUUGCAAGCCCUGUAACAGUAUGUUCUUUAGUUCAUCCAUUAACAGCUCUAGCUUUUUCUUAUGACCUCCAAACUCUUCUUUACUCCAAAACUUUAAGUAUGUCAUGGAAUCUUUCGCUGCUUUUUAAAAAUUCUCAAUUGCAUCUUCACUGUACCAUCUUCUUUGGUCUAACCACUCUCUUUUAACAAUUUGCUUGCAUUGGCAUAAAAGCUCUAGGAAUCUUCGUAAUAAAUACAUCUAGUGGAUCUCUUUUUAUACUUUCUUGCCUUGCCCUUUUUUCUCAAAUUCCAUCAUAAUUGGGUUAUGAUCUGAUGUCCAUGUUAUCAUCAUUUCUGCUGCAUUUUAAUAGAAGAAACUUCCCCAAGAUUUACUAUACUAAAAAUGAUCCAAUCAUUCCUCAAUUAAACCAAUUUCUAUCUCCUAUUCAACCAAGUAAAAGGAAGCCCUUCCAACCCUUAUCGACCAAAUCACAUUUUCUAAUUGCCUCCCUAAACUCAUGCAUCAUCCUAAUCUCCUUAUUGUUCCUUUUUUUUAAUUUGGCAAUAAAAUUUCAUCAAAAUCGCCAAAACACAUCCAUGGCAUGGAAGAAAGGCUAGCUAACCUCUUUAACAAAGUCCAUGUGUGGUGUUUCUACCCUCCCGAUGGGUGUCCAUAAAUUCUUGUGUACCUCCAAUAGCUUCCAUUUUCAAUAUACACCAUUGAGCAUCACGCCAAUGUGAUGCUUGUUGUAUGACUGUAUAUGUAAUGUGACAUCUAAGUUUCGUAACAAUGCCAAGCCACCCCUCAUACCUUCUCUACCAACUUCAAAACAGUUUUUCAGAUUCAAAUUACCGUUAAUUCUUUUCAUUAUUUUGGCACUAGUUUUGUCUCAUAGAAGAAAACUAUCCGGGGCUUAUAUUUUUUUAGAACAUUUUUAGCUUCACAGAACGUCCGGUCCUUCCCUAAACCCCAAACGUUCGAACUUAGGACUCUCAUGGCUAUCGAUGAGGCUGGUCACCAGCCUCUGCCAUUGGAUUUUCAAAAUUCUCAACUGCUAUGUCCACGUCUCCUUUAUACUUUCUAUUUAUCAUCUCCCACCUUAGCAUUUGCUUAGCUUUUGGUAAUGUAAAUGGUGGUUUUGUAAAUGAGUUGUCUAUUUUCUUUUUUUCUUUUUUCGCUUCUGGGCUUGGCUAAUUGGUUUUAUUUGUUGAUCUUUUUUGCUGCAGAAGGCUCGUGUUUUUUAAUCACUCUUUGGUAGCCAAUUUUAGCUUGAGCCCUCCAUUUUCUUCCUUUGGGCUCAACUUUAUAGAUCUCUGCUCCAUUUCCAUCCUCCCCCAUUAUAACUUCAGUUUGGGCCGAACGUUUGUCUGGACCUUGAUGCGGUUUCAUGCUUUGAGAGUGCCCCAAGUUUUUUACCCUUUCUCAUUCAUUUUUCUUUUUUUUUUUCCAUUUCCCCUUCUUGUUUUGUGCUUAAAUUUUGACUUUCUUUCUGUUGUUCUCCCUCUUUCCAAUUUACUCCUUCUAGCUCCUGAUGCCUAGUAAGAUUGACCUUACUAGUUAUUUUCUCAUAUGUUUGCCCAUUUAUAUUUAACAGCCUCGAGAAGCCCCCUUCUUGCAUUGAAUGCAUCUCUAUCUCUUUUGGAUUUCAGGUUUGGUUCGACACAUCUUUUUGACCCAGACUAUCUGCAACAUUUUUGCCUUGCAGUUUGGUAGUACCUAGGGGAACUAGAUUUGAAGAGGAUUCAGCUCUUUGCUCAUCUGUGGUUGUAUUCCAUUAUUCUUUUCCCCUGUGUUACUUCAAUUUAUCCACCAUAGUUGUAGCUUUAGUCCAUGGUCCAUACAGCAAAUCCUCUUUAGCUUGGUUUUUUAACUUUGUGCAUUCUCUGUAUUAAUGGUCAAUACAACCAUAGCAAUAACAAAAAUCAGGCAACUUUUCAUAUUGAAUUGUAAUUGGGACAUCUUCUUCUUCACCAUCUUUCACUACAACAAAAGAGAGCUUUAGCGACGAACAAUUUUGUCGCUAAAACAUGCAAUAUUUGUCGUUAAAGGCUAUAGCAAAAAAAAAAAAAAAAUUUGUCGCCAUAAGAGCGUCGCAUUAGUUCUUUGGCAUCGAAUUUUCAAAUUUCGUCGCUAAAAUUAUUUUAGCGACGAAUCUUGCUUCGUCACCAAAAGUACAUUUAGCGAUGAAUCAUGUUUCAUCACCAAAAGAACUUUCACAAAAUUUAAAAUCUCUUUUUUGAAAGAAAAUUAUUACAAAUGAAUAUAAAUUUCUUGAUUUUCUUCAUCUUGAUGUAAUUGGUCCUCAAUAUUCCCUACAAAUAAACACACAAUAAUUAGUUAACUUAAUAAACACAAAUUUAAUAAUAAUAUAAGUUAGAAUAAAUAAGAUAAGUAAAAAAAAUUACACCAUGUUCAAAAUAAAAGAAAAAGAAGUAGAGAUUAAAUUAGAAAAUUGUUCAAAAUAAAAGAGAAAAGAAGUAGAGAUUAAAUUAGAAAAUGAGAAUUAUACAUUUAGAGAUGAGAGAAUUAAAGAAUAAAAUUAAGGAAGUGAGAGAAUGAGAGAAUGAGAGAAUGAGAGAAUGAGAGAAUGAAAGAAAGAAUAAAAAAAUGAAGUAGAUGGUAUAUAAAUAGGUUACAAGAGUUUUUAGCAAUGAAAUUUAAAAUUCGUCGCUAAAACUUAAUUUUAGCGGAAAAUAACCCGACAAAUUUUUUUAAAUUUUGACAUAUUUUAGCAAUGAAAUAUUUCGUCGCUAAGAGUACACAUUCAGCGACGAAAUUCAAUUUCGCCACUAAAGGUCUUAAAUUUUGGCAGAAAAUCAUCCGCCAAUUUUUUUUUAAAUUUUCAUAAUUUUUAACGACAAAAAUAUAUUUCUUCACAAAAAUUAGUUUUAGCAACGAUAUUUUUUUUCCCUCUAAAACAUGGCCAUUUGAGACAUCAAAGAGUUUUAGCGACAAAUUCUAUUCGUCGCUAAAACUACUUAUUGCGAUGAAAUAUAUUUUCGUCACCAAAACAAGCUCUUUUAGCAUGUCAUAGAGUUUUAGCAAUUAAUAUAUUUCGUCGCUAAAACAAUUUUUAGCGAAAAAAUUUAUUUUCGUCGCCAAAACAUGCUAUGUGUAAAUAACUUUUUAACGACAAAAUGGCUUUCAUUGCUAAAACUAUUUGUGGUAACGAAAAAAAUUUCGUCACUAAAACAAUUUUUAGCGAUGAAUAGUAUAUCAAAUUUUAAUCGUUAAAAGUUUGGGUGCCAAUAUUUGUUUUGCCGCUUAAUUUUUUGGCGACAAAACUAAUUUUUGGUUGUUAUAUGUCGUCUUUAGUGACGAUUUUUUUGUCGCUAAAAGUGAUAAUUAAAUAUUAUUUUUCUAUUAUGACUUUAACGACUAAAGUUCUUUUUUGUCGCUAAAAAAUACUUGCAACGACAAAAAUAUUUUGAUCGCUAAAAGUUUCGUCGCAAAAGACCAAUAUUCUUGUAGUGUAAUUUCUAUUUAAGUGAUAAGAGGGUCAUUAGGGGCUUAAUAAUAUCGAUGGAUACUCUAAGUCUGAUGACUUCUCUAGUGCAUUCUCCGUUGGCAUCUGCUUCUUCAACUUUUCCUAUUCUUGCUCCCAACUCUGAUAUUGUUUCUUUAUCCAUACACAUAAGGGUACAUUCUUUAGUUGCACCCAAAAUGACGCAUUGGUAAAGGACUGCUUUGACACCUCUCCAAUACCCAUUGAUUCUCUGAAUACAAUAAGCGCACCAUUAAAAUGCCAAGGGCCACUUGCGAUUGCUCUCUUUUUAUCUAUUUCUGCUGCAAAUUUAAACAUGAAAAUAUUCUCUCCCAUGGCAUCUACCUUCACUUCCCUAAUUGUUUGCCAUGCUUGUUGCAUUGCUAGCUUCAAACCUUUUUUGUUUACAUUUCUACUUGUCAGCACUUUGCCCAUCAGACAUCCAGCGACUAUCCUCUCUCCUUUUGACUUCAUUUCACUUUUAAAAGAGACUUUUCCUUCCUCCCCCCUUUUAAAGUUAUAGCUUUACACUUUCGAAUCAACUCUUAUGUAUCCAUUUGGAGCUCGGAGAGGUUUUACUUAAGAACCACCCCCACUCCCUAUUUAAUGCUAUAUCAUUUAAGACACCUACCUCAACUGAGCCAACAAGAUUUUGUGUUUAUACAAACAACGUAUAUGGUAGUAAUAAACUUGAACCUAACGAGUAGGUAGAAAAGAGAGUCAUAAAGACUCUAUUCACCUUCCAUUCGAAAACUUGAGAAAGAAAAAACAUGUAAAGAGAGGUAGUUGAAGUGCUUAUAAACUCACAUCUCAAGCUUUAGGUUAAUAAUGUAGGAUUUAAUUCGUUAAGAUCCAUCCACUUUUUAAAAGGUAGUUGAAGUGUUUAUAAACUCACAUCUCAAGCUUUAGUUUAGUGAUGUAGGAUUUAGUUAGUUAAGAUUCACCCAUUUUUUAAAAGUGACCUUCACCAGUUCAUACCCUAAUUGUUAUAUGCACAUUAGAUAGAAUUCAUCCCAAAAAACCAACUUAUAAAGAGAAGGAGCCCAUAUACUUAUAAGCUCACAUGGCAAACCUUAACUUAACGAUGUGGAACUCUAUUAAAGUUGCUACAGUGCAAUCCUAAGAAAUAACCAAAACCCUCUUGGUACUUUGGUAUUCACAAUUCUUUUAAGGAAAGAAGUGUGCGAUCAUCUGAAGUCUUCAAAACUUGAGAAAAAAGUAGAAUAAAAAUACAAUGGAUUUUAUUCGAUUUAUUCAUCACACAUCAAAAUCAAUACAAUCAAUAAAAAUACAAAUUUAUUUAAACAAUCAAUAACAAGAAUAUCAAAUUUUCAUAAAUUGAUAGAGAGAGUGCAAAUGAAAGAAAAGAAAAAACAAUAUCAAUAAGGUUAAUUAAUUUUAAAAAUAAAUGAAAUUAGUUGAGAAAUAAGGAGUUAUGAGAUAAUUAAAAGGGGCCAAUACCGCCCCUAUUUAAAAAUUUCAAAACAUAGAAGAUGCUUCUCCGCUUUAUGGGCCUAAGCUAAGUUCACUUAUGGGGAUUAUCCGAUAAUUUAUAACUAGAACACGAUAAGCCAACAUUUGCCAAUAAUGUAAUUUAUAAAGCAAACUACAAAAUGUGUCCUUAGUUUAACAGACUAAUUAUUUCUAUGUUAUAAAAUAAAUCUAAUUAAAAAAACUUCGUUUAGAAAACAUUACCAAACGCAAAACGUUAACAAUACUAUAUAUAUACGGAGUUGGAUACAAAUGUUUAUUUCAAGUGAUGUGAUACUUAUUGGUGACUAGUAAAUAUCAUCAUUUUGCAUCAACUUCAUUGUCGUAUAAUUAAUAUAAUAACUAUAUGGACGGAGUUUCCUUAUAUUAUUUUAUUUUUUUACAUUAAAAGUAAGACUUAACAUUUUAUUUAUUGGAUCUGUUCAAUUAAAUGGUAGAUAAAAUGCUGACUUGAAUACUACUGAUUUACUCUACAUCUACCCAUUUGAUUGACGGAAUCAGUAAUAAAAAACUAGGUCAUAAAUUUGACGGAAUCCAGAAAUUAAAAAUUAAAUCUUGAUUUUAAGUCGAAAAGUUAAACUGAAGUUAAAUUAAGUGAACUCAACCUAAAUUUUAUAUUACCUUAUUUACAACGACAGGUCAAAUACUCUAUAAAGGUAAUUUACAUUUAAAUUUAAUUGGUAAAACAUUAUUUUAAAAUUAAUUAAAGAAAUAACGAUUACCAUAUCCGUGCAAAAAAUAUUAAAAUAGCAUUUCAGCAUCAAGAAUCAUGCAUGACACACGCGAAUACAUAGCGAAUAACGCCUUCCCCUUCUUUCUUAAUUGGACACAAAGAACUUAAGGUAAGUAGGUAACGUUCAUUAUUACACGCCAAUUUAUUUUUAAAAAUAAAUGUACACAUGUCAUGACAUUAUUUGUUUGGUGUAUAACUGACAUGGUAAUUCUGAUGUAUUCUAAAUUUUCUCCAAAACUUGAAUUAUUACAUUUUCUUUGAAAUAAAUUAUAGGCGAUCACCUAAAAUUUUUAUUGGAUUAAUUUUUAGUUGACCUAGUAAUUAUAAAAUAGUUAUAACCCUAGUGAAUUUCUUACUAGCUUGGAACUGAAAAUACGAAUACCUACAUAUACUUUUAUUCAUUUUUUAUUUGUCAAUAAUAAAAAAUAAAUAUAUAAUAUUUCGUUGACAAUCUAAGAUGAAGAAUAUACUAUGCCCGGCGUGGAAAUUAGCCGCUUUGCUCCAUCACCAUGCAUGGACAAAAUCACAUCACCCACUUGGGGAAGAAAGCCCAAACUCAUGCUUUUAUGAUAGAUAUUGAAUUUAAGAAUACUGCUUUGAAAUGUCUUGAUAAAAUAUAUACACUGCAGCAAAAGUGUGACCUUGCAUGUUAUCAUGUGAAAUUUAUAAGGUGGUCGAUGUCACAGCUGAGGUCAUCAAAAUUUCUCGCUUGUAUCCUACUCUCGUAUAUAAGUAGCAGAAGCAGAAAUUAGAUUUAUCACCAAAUAACCUUUCAUCAAAUUAUACAGCUUGUACUCUGUAGCAGCAAAACACACACAAUCAAAAUGAGCUGCUGGUGGAUAGUUGCUAACGGCGCUGCUAAGGUUAAAGAUCAUCAACUUUAUGUGAAAUAAUGCAUACAUGUGUGUAUGUGUGUGCGUAUCUAUAUAUUGUUGAUCUCGUGGAAGAUCCUCUUUAUUAAAGUUUAAAAAAGUUAUUAAACCGUGCAGUUGAAUAGUAUAAUGUCAUUACACUUUUAAACUAUAUGGUUUAAUAGCUUUCACAGUCAUUAUACUAUUAAAUCAUACUGUUUAAUAACUUUACCGAAUUUUAAUGAAUUAGAAUCUUGGAUUGAAAUAUUUCUAUAUAUAUAAAAAGAGAAAGAGAAAUAUUCCAAAACAAGAUGCUAGACUUUGUUAAAUUUUGAAAAAAUUAUAAUGUUGAGAGUCAGCUUCCAGUUUGGUAUGUCUUUACAACGUCGCAAACUCAUUUAUAAUGUUGUAAACACGUCCAUAUUAUAAAUUCUGGGAUUUCAAGUUGGAAAGCUUUUGUAUAUGUUGAUAUUUUUUUAUUUUUUUUGAGAAGGUAUAUGUUGAUAUUUUAUUAACUAAAAUGCUUAAUUAAUUUGUUCUUAAUCACUAGCUUGUACAAAACAAAUUGGAUGAAGGUGAGCCAUCUCGAGACAACCAGCACGUGGGGCUUAUAGUAGGCGUGACGGGAAUUGUGGGCAACAGCCUUGCUGAGAUUUUGCCACAACCAAAUACCCCCGGCGGCCCGUGGAAGGUCUAUGGGGUGGCCCGACGCCCGAGGCCCGCCUGGAAUGCAGAUCACCCCAUUCAGUACAUCCAAUGUGACGUCUCCGACGCAGACGAGACACAAGCUAAGCUCUCAAAACUCACCGACGUCACCCACAUCUUCUACGUGACGUGGGCCAGCCGUCCCACCGAACUCGAGAAUUGCCACGUCAACGGCGCCAUGCUGCGCAACGUGCUCCGUUCCGUAAUCCCCAACGCGCCCAAUCUCCGCCACUUCUGUCUCCAAACGGGAGGCAAGCACUACUUGGGACCGUUCGAUUAUUUUGUGGAGACACAGCUGCCUCAUCACCCUCACGACCCGCCUUACACUGAGGACUUGCCGAGGCUAAACGUUCCGAACUUUUAUUACGAUCAAGAAGACAUACUGUUUGAAGAAGUUGCAAAGAGAGAUGGCUUGACCUGGUCAGUACAUCGCCCUCUUGGAAUCUUCGGAUUUUCACCCUAUAGUAUGAUGAACAUAGCAGGCACUCUCUGUGUGUACGCAGCUAUAUGUAAGCAUGAAGGCGUCCCUUUACUAUUUCCGGGGACUAAGGAAGCUUGGGACGGCUUCACAGAAGUUUCGGACGCGGAUUUGAUAGCGGAGCAGCAAAUUUGGGCGGCGGUGGAUCCGAACGCGAGAAAUGAAGCUUUUAAUUGUGCGAAUGGAGAUGUGUUUAAGUGGAAGCACUUUUGGAAAGUGUUGGCGGAGCGGUUUGAGAUUGAGGAUUAUGGGUUUGAUGAGAAGGGUGAGAGAUUGAGAUUGGUGGAGAUUAUGAAAGGUAAAGAGAGCGUAUGGGAGGAGAUUGUGAGAAAGAAUAAGCUGCUGCCCACAAAGUUGAAUGAGGUUGCCAUUUGGUGGCAUGCAGACGUGUCGUUCGACGUUGGUGAGGAUAUUUUGGUUAGCAUGAACAAGAGUAAGGAGCACGGGUUCUUGGGAUUUAGGAAUUCAAAGAAUUCUUUCAUUGCUUGGAUUGAUAAGAUGAAACGUUACAAGAUUGUUCCUUAAAUGGUAAUGUUUCUUUCAUGGGCUUUUCUUUUUUUCUUUUCUCUCUCUGAGUCAGCGAAUAAGGUUUCUUUUUCUCCUUUUCUUCUUCCGGCCUCCUCCUCCAAGUGAGGGUGGCUGUUUUGUUUUCAUUGAUAAGAUGAAACGUUACAGUUUACUGCUGUAAUGUGAUCUCUGUUAUGGGUGCUGCUGCUCUACUGCAUGUACUGUUGUUAUUUGAAUUUUAUGAAAUCUAUCUUUUCUGUUUCAAAAAGAAUAAAAAGAAAAUUACCUGAAUCUUGAAUCAAUCCCAAGCUAGUAAUGUAUUACCAAUGUGGAAAGAAUAAAAAAUGUCUAUGUAGACCUUCUAUAUUUGAAAGAACAAAAAAUUUAUAUGUAGACCUUCUAUAUUUACGAACGUUGAACGUUCUUACUUUUAAAAUAUAGAUUUGGGACUUUAUUGUUUGUAAAUAUCGAAAUUAUAUUUAAAAAAUUAUAAAAUUCAUACCUAAGAAUAAUUAUAUAUUUUAUGUUCAAUAUAUCAGUAAAGAAGAUGACAGAAUUAUUUUUUCUCAAGUCUUAUAUGUAAGUCGUAAUAAUUCAGCUGUGCUCAGCUUGCUUCAACUUUUUAGGAACCUGUUAAUGAAAUAAAGCAAGCUUUAUUCAAAAUAAAUACAUAUUAAGCCUCCAUUUGUUACAUUGAAUAGAGUUUAUAGAAGUAAAAUUUUUCUAAGUAGAGCUUAUACAAAUAGGGCUUUUGAUAAAAAGUUAUUGCAUGUUUAGUUGUCAAUUAAAAAAAUUCCUUUGAACCAUUAAUUUAUUUGGUUCUACAAUACUAAAAAUAUUUUUAUGUAAUUAAAUUGUCAAAAAGAAUAUGUAAAAAAAAAAUUACUUCAUCUUUUCAAUUUGCCUUUGAAUUUUUUUCUCUUUACAGCAGUUGUCAUUAUAGAUAUCUAAUAUUAUCACAUAAAAAAUAAUGUACAAAAUAAAAGAAAGACGAAAUGAAUUUCUAAUAUAAACUAAUAAUGGGAACAUACAGUCGACUAAAAUAAUAAAAACAAUGGCAAAUAUCAAAUAUCAAAUAGUGGCACAGUGAAAUGUUCAUUAAUUUUCUAAUAAGUUAGAUAUAUUUUAAGUUUUUAACAAUAAUAAAGGAAACAUGCAGACGUGGAUUCUUAUUGUGUUGUUUCUAACUUUCUAUCAAACGGCGGCAAUGCGCUUGUUUCCAAUAAUUUUUUUUGCUUAGGGUUUUGUAUAUAAGUAUGGAUAUUGUGUAUUUAAUGAAAUAUACUUGGGAUAUUUUUUUUAUAUUACAUAUAUGUUAGAAGAAUUCUCUAAUCUUACUCCUAAAAUUCAAAUUUUGAAUUUUAUUAAUAGAGCGAAAAUAACUUAUUUAAGUCUCAUAAGUUCUAUUAAAAAAAACUAAACACAAAUAAAUAUUUAAAAAAAACUUAUAAAAUUAAAUAAUUAUUCAUAAUUAUUAAAUAAGUCAUACGAAAUAAAUAUUAAAUAAAAAAAUGAUUACUGAAAUUAUAUUUGUUAGUGACCGUUGUAUAUCAUCUUUUUUUCAACUUAAAAUCACAACCCAUUAUUUUAUUUUAUUGAAUCUAUUCAACUCAACGGUAGAUAAAUAAUGACUUAAAUGCUACUGUAUCCAUGAAUAAAAUAUUUAAAUAGCGUUUCAGCAUUGAGAUUAACACGCACGUGAGAAUACAUGACAAAGACAACUUUAUAUUAUGACAAUGUGAGCGCCGCCUUCAUUUUUUCCCCUAAUUGGAUGUGUUCAGGCAACGUUAUUUAUAGUAAUUUUAAUUAUAUAAUUUUUUAUUUAUAAUUCGUAAAUAAUUGUUUUUUUUAAAAAAAAAAAAAGAUAAACUGCUGGCUAUCACCCAAAUAAAAUUACGUUUGGGAGUUUAUUUCUCACUUGUGGACUUGAUUAUAAUUUUGUCCAAAUCGGUGGGUAAAUAUUCUUUUAAACCCUAUAGUUUCGGUUAGUUACUACAUUACCCUCUAUAUUUUUUAUAUUUACUGAAAGCUAUCUAGUGGGAAUCUAUCUAUGGUAAAAUCUACUCAAUUAUUUAACUUAUCUAUAUUCUUCACUUGUUCCAUAUAAAAUUUGUUUCAAUUUUAAGUUAUGCCAUUUUAAAUACUAUUUUCUCUUUAAUAAAUUAGAUCCAACACAUACAAUUUUAAGUUGUACCAUCUUAGGUUAUUUUUAAAAAAAAAAUUAAGGACUAACAAGAUAAAUAGCUCUAAUUAUAUAAACUAAAUGAAAAUUUACCCAAAUUUAAUAUUCGCCUUAAAUUUCUUUUUUUGAAUGAUGAAUAUUCCCUUUAAAGUUUAGACUAUUUCAUUUGAUAUUAACUAGUUUGGUAAUAUUAUAGUUCUUAAAAUAAUUACUAUUAGUUGUGUUGUAGAAAUAAUUAGUUAUAAAGAAAAUCAAUUAAACACAUAGCAAAAUGUAUUUUAGAAGUGUUGCGAGUUUAAAAAAAGUCAUAUGUAUUUGGUAAAUAAAUUUGUAAAACUGCUGUAAGAAUGUAAAUGACUGAAAAUAAAUAUAAUAUUGAAUAAAGUUUUAUUUAUCAACACAUUUAUAAAUAGGUAUAUAUAAUAUACUAGAAUAAAUACUUUCAAUUUUAUUUUAUUAUCUCAAAAUAAUUGGUAAUAACAAUAUUUUCUUUAAAUUUAAUGGUUUUAUUUUCUAAUUGAAUAAGGAUACUUUUGGAUUUCAUAACAUAAGUGAGGAUAUAUAUGAAAUAGUAUUAAAUAUAAAACUAAUUUUCAAAAUCAAAUUUGAAAAGUUAUUCAUUCCCUAUAUUUUAAAAUCUAUUUUAAGAUGAGGUGAUUUUACAAAAAAUAAAUUUUAAAAAUAUUUACGAAAUACCAAAAAUUAGUUAUUAAAUUUUCAAAAUCACUUUUGAGCAUCUAAAAGUUAAUUAUAAAUGACCCCCAAAGUCCAAUGAUUCCGGAAGCUUGGAUUGUUAUUUUCUCUUUGAAGCUUGAAAUAAAUUGUACUCACCUAAAAUUUUGAUUGGAUUAAGUCAGCUCACGGUUCAAUGUUAUAUUGAAUUGACCGAAUAAUAAUAAAAUCGUUUUAAAUUCUUUAAUCUAUAUCCAAUUGAAUUUCUUACUAUUUCGAAUUAAAAAUAUCUGUAUGUAUAUUUUUAUUCAUUUCAUUUUAAUUGUCAAAAAGAAGACAUAAAAUACACAAAAAUUGUGGAGACAACUAAGAUGAAGAAUAUACGAUGGCUCUCGUGGAAAGCAGCGGCCCCCACCAAGGCCAAAAUCAUACCACUCACUUCAAGAAGAAAGCUGAGACUCAUGCUUUCAUUAUGAUAUUGAUAAUAUAACAAAUAGCACUAGAUAAAAAAGAGUGCUGCUUUGGUAAAUAUUUUGAUCAAAUUUAUUGAAUCAAAAGUGUGAUCUUGCAUGUUUUUAAUGUGAAAUUUUAUCUUACAAUAAAUUUGUCUACCAAAUGUCAGGUAAAAUUUCACAUCAAUGCUAUAAAUUUUGAAGCAAAAUUUUAUUGAAACCCAAGAUUCUUGUUUGUUGAUAUAUUUGGGGACAAAAAGGGAUAAUAAAAAUUUGGGCGGUGGUAUAAUAUAAUUAAUUUAAGUUAAUUCUAUUAGAUUAUCACAACUUUAUUUUAUUAUUAUUUAACUUAACGGUAACUUAAUUUUUUUCUCAACCCAUAUGAAUGGUUCUUUCAUUUUUACAAAAGAAAAUUUACAAUCUUAAAUAUAUUGGCAUUAGAAAAAAGUACAAAAGAAUAUUUUGAUUAAUAAAGGUAAGAACAUAGUACAAGUAGACAAACUAUAUCCAUACUUAGAAAAUACUAAACAAUUACGGGGCUAGAUGUUAUAAACCUAUUAUCAAGAUCCGAUUCAAGAGUUCCAAAUGAUGCAUGAAUAACAUGUAUAGAUUAAUUAAAUAUAUCUUCUAAUUAUAAGGUAAUAUUUUUAGAUAAACACACACACACAUAUACAUACAUACAUAUAUAUAUAUAUAUAUCAAUUGGAGCUUCUAAGGGUGUAGCUGAAUAAUUUUCAAACAAUUACACUUAAUUGGUCACUCGGAUUUUCAAGCAAUUACACUUAAUUGAAUAUCCCAGGAGAGAAUGACUAAAAGAUGAAUUUUGACCUUUGUCUACUCAUUUAUUUUUUAAAAUAAUAAAGAAGUACGUGCAUUAAUUAAAUAUAAUUUUUAUAGGGUGUGUUUAACAUAUCAUAUUAAUAAAUUUUGUAUACACCAUAAUAUGAAUCGUUUCGCAUUAAAUAAAUUUAAAAGGAUUGAAAUAUUACUUUAUAUUUUAAAAUAAUUUAAUAUAAUAUAACCUAAAAUAAUACUACUAAUACCACAAUAUAAUAUGCAAAACGUAAUAUACUCUAGAAUCUCUUCAAAUUGGUCAAUCACUCGGAAGCUUCCAUUUGAAUUUUCAACCGAUGUAGCCAAAAUUCAAAAAAGUACCGCGUGACCCUAAUAUUUGCAUGUAUGCCCCACCUAUUGUCGCUCAUUUUACAUUUCCGUCCUCCCUUAUAUUUAAAAAACCAGCAAUAAAAGACUCAAAAAAUUGGCGUGUAAACAACCCUGCCCAGCGCAAAUCUAGCAUUUCUUUAGUUUCCCUCUCUCCGAUCCCACGGUUUUCCUCUCCUUCCUUCCUCUCUCUCUCUCUCUCUCUCUAAUUUUUGUUUUUUCUGCUCCUCAUUUUUUUUUGUCAAUUGAAUCUUUCAUCUCGAAUUUGAAUCUAGGGUUAGGGUUUUGAGGAUGGGCCAACAGUCGUUGAUCUAUAGCUUCGUGGCUCGAGGCACGGUGAUCCUCGCCGAGUACACUGAGUUCACCGGUAAUUUCACGAGCAUCGCAUCGCAAUGUCUCCAGAAACUUCCCGCUACCAAUAACAAGUUCACCUACAACUGCGAUGGCCACACCUUCAAUUACCUCGUUGAGAACGGCUUCAGUACGUUGUCGUUUUAUCUUACGUGUUCAUGUUCAUACGAAUUACAAGAUGGACAAAUCUGAUCUGGAUCUAUUCUUUUUUUUUUUUUUAUUUGGUUGACUUUUGUGUUCUCAUGGAUCCGUGUGUUUGACUUUUUUAUUCUGAUUUGAUAUUGCAUUUCUUGGUGAUAUAUAUCUUUAUUUAAUCAUUUUGAUGUGUUUUUAUAACCUAAUUGGAUUGGAUCAUGCAUAGAUCAUACGUAGUCUUAUAAUUCUCUUGCUGGUUAAUGAAGAAUUGAAGAUUUAGAAAUCUGAUGAUUUGUAAAUGAUUAAGACGUGGUGGCGUGUGUAAUCUAUUUUAUGAUUUGAAGGAUUAAUGUUUAGCAGAAGGGAUGAAACAGUGAAAUGUCGAUGGAUUAUUUUCAGUGGCUGAAGUUCCUGUGUAAAAUAACCAAUUACAAUAGGAAAUUCACCAGAGUUAUGUUUUCAGGUUUAGCGUGUGUAGCUAAUUUGGGGACAAGCAAAGUGUGUUUCUCUAUUUGGCAAAUGAUGAAUCCUCUCUUUAUGUUAUUAAUUUGAGAAUUAAUAUUUGGUGAAUAGUUAGUUGUAUUUGUGUAUUGUGCUUGAUACACGCACAUGAAAGUUUUGGUCUUAUUUGACUUUUGGUAGUGCACCUUCUUUUUUUGUCGUUUACUUUAUUAAAUUACGUAGUGGGCAAGUAGUUUGUUUAUUUAUUUAUACAUUUAGGGAAAUAAUUUUAUUCUUUGUGAAGGAACAACGGUAUUUUCUUUGUCUUUUAUGGAACCUUGAUCAGGUUUAAGUCAGUUGCUUCUUCUCAUGCAUUUACAAUGUUCUGUAGUAAACUAUACUUGUUUGUAACUUCUUAUGUCAGAAUAUGAAGCAAUAGUAUGGUUAAAUCAAGAUAAUCGGAGUUUUUCUUGUAUGGGGGAUAAUUUUUCUUUUAGUAUAAUGAUCUGGCAUAUUUAAACUCAUUGUCUCUAUGCCUAGUAUGGUUAAAUAAGGACAAUGGGAGAUUUGUCUUGUAUAGGGGAUAAUUUUCUUUUAGUUUAGCCAUCUGGCAUAUAUUUAAACUCAUUAUCUCUAUGCCUACUAUGAAUAUUAGGUAUUUGGUUUUAGUGCUUUGACUGCGUAGGAAAAUGUAGUCAUUCUAAACAAAUGUAACAGCAUUUUUGUUUCGCAAAUCAACUCCAUUACCUUUCUACAUAUGAGUUUAUGGUCUAGAUAAUAUUUGAUAUUUGAUAAUAAGAUAUUUGGCAAUCUUACUGGCACUUUGACUGACUUUGAUUUAAUAGUUAGAUUGAGACAUGGAAAUUUUUCUAGAUUUCUCGUAAAAUGAUUCUGCAAGUUUUACUUAUUCAGACAUGGAAAGAGCAGUUCUGAUUUGUACAAUCUUACUGGCACUUUGACUGACUUUGAUUUAAUAGUUAGAUUGAGACAUGGAAAUCUUUCUAGAUUUCUCGUAAAAUGAUUCUGCAAGUUUUACUUAUUCAGACAUGGAAAGAGCAGUUCUGAUUUGUAUGUACAUGACAUUGGUUGCUGAUUGAAUCGUCAUUGUCUUAACAGUAUUGAUCAGUUUAGUUAUUAUGCUUGUUGCAGUAUAAGUAACAUGUGACAUCAAAAUGUUAAUUCUGAAGCUUAUGGCUGCAGAUAUUUGUAGCUAUCCACCAGAUAAACAAAAGUUAUGGCCCAUGGUUUGAGAAACUUUAAGAGAAUUUUGUUUUUUUCUCUUUUUUUUUCUCAUUGUAGUGCUCAACAAUUUCCUUGUUUCUUGACUUCGUGUUGUUUCAGUCACUUGCUUCAGAAAUUAUCUGAAAUAAUAUUCAGAGGAUUUCGUAGUACCUGGUUUAAUUUGUUGUUAUUUAUUACCCAUCAUUUGUUGGUCAACUAUAGACAAUUGUGUUACUGUUUUGUUGAAAGUCUUCACUAUUUUUAUGGAUAUUGUAUUAACUAUGGAACUGGAUGUUUGGUUGCUGCAGCCUAUUGUGUGGUUGCUGUUGAAUCUGCUGGCAGGCAAAUUCCAAUUGCCUUUCUGGAGCGAGUUAAGGAGGAUUUCAACAAGAGAUAUGGUGGAGGAAAAGCUGCAACGGCUGUUGCAAAUAGCCUGAACAAGGAGUUUGGGUACUAUAUUAGUUCUCUUCAUUGAGGAGUACUUUUUUUAUUGUUAUUUUUUUACAUUUUUGUCUGCACAUUACAGGUCUAAACUAAAGGAGCACAUGCAGUAUUGUGUGGAUCAUCCUGAAGAGAUCAGCAAGCUUGCCAAAGUCAAAGCUCAGGUCUCUGAAGUCAAGGGGGUUAUGAUGGAAAAUAUUGAGAAGGUAAGGAGUAAGCUGCUGCUACAUACUUAGUAAUAGAUUUGUGAUUUGUCCUGUUCUCAUGCUUUUUCACUGAGCAGUUAAGUGACUUAAAUGGAUUAACACCAAUGGCUCUAGCAGUACAGAGUGUUCUUUUCUAAUAACAAAUAUAAUGUAUAUUUUGGUUGAGGAGAUUUGUCUGUUGUGCAGGUUCUUGAUCGUGGUGAGAAGAUUGAGCUGCUGGUUGACAAAACUGAGAACCUUCGGUCACAGGUUAAUCUGGCUGUAGCUGAUUGCUUGUUUAGGAGUUGAGCAAAAUGUGUGAUGUUAACUUUGUUUUGAAUUGACUUAUUGGUCUUGUUGCAGGCACAAGAUUUCCGACAACAGGGGACGAAGAUGAGAAGGAAGAUGUGGAUCCAGAAUAUGAAGAUUAAAUUGAUCGUUUUGGGUAUCAUCAUCGCAUUGAUCCUUAUCAUCGUUCUGUCAGUUUGCCAUGGCUUCAAAUGUUGAUUUGGUCUUGGAAAGUCCCUGGAAACUGUACUUUGCUGUCCCGCUGACAUGGUCGACUUGGUACAUUGGCCACAUCUUUUGAUCCUUGCAUCUCUCUCGCUUGUUUUUGUUUAAGUUUUUUUUUUUUUCCCCUCUUUUAGGUCAUCAUGCCCUUACUUGCCCUUGGCAAGGGAAUGAAUUUGUAUCUUUUCGAUUGCUUGUAUAGGUUAUAUGCUUGAACUCCUCGAAAUAGAUAAAUAUCUUAUGCUGCCUGCUGCUUUAUGUGGAUUUUAGUUUAAGAUGUAAUGGAACAAUAGUUGGAUACCUGCAGAAUUGAUCAUUCCUUUGGCUUUGUUACCUGAAAUUAAUUUCCAAUAAGAGAUUAGUCAGAGACAAGUUAAGCGAUAAGAAAAAUACACACUUUAAUAUAAUAUAUUUUGUCCAUUAGUAUGUUAAAAUUUGUGUUCAUGUGUUAACUUGUUCUUAUCAUAUUAAUGUAAGCAAAUCUUUAUUAGGAGACUAUUACACGUGUAACAAAAAAGGAAGAAAUUUUGAUCUUUUGUGGUGGUGCAGGCGGUUUGGGUUUGAAUUCAUCUUGAUAGGAGGUGGUGGUUUGAUUUAAAUUUGUAAUAAAAUAUAGAAAAGAAAAAUUAACCAUUUUCUUUUUUCGGUACAAGUACGCGAGUUUUAUUAAAGCGAAUAAAAGGAGGGUCUUGCAGAAAAGAAUAGAAAAUCGAGUGCCACGUAGUAAAGCCUAAAAAGGGUUCAUGAGAAACAAUAUUCGGCCCAGCCCAGCCCAGCCCAAAAAUUCAAUAGGGACUGGGGAGUCCUUAGGUGCAGAUGCAGGCUAUGCUCUUUGUAAAAUAUGAAUUCAGGCCUUUAUAUUUACAGCACUGUAAAAAGAGUGAGUCCAUUGUUCAUAAAGCGUAGAUUUGAGGAGAAUUAUUCGACACUUGCAAAGGAUUAUGCAAGAAAACAUAUGAAGUCAAUCGAAAUAUUAUCAUCGUUAUUUCGUGAACUUUUGGAAGGAUUCUAUUAUCAAGCCUCGAAAUUAUUGUCCUCUACAGUCCUUGUCAUUCUGAAAUGUCUCUUCUUCUCUAGCAGCAUCCGAAUAUUGGCCUUCUUUAGACACUGGCACGCUCAUUUUUUCUUCAUUUUCAUUAGCAGAGUUUUUCUGAAACUCUGUUUGGCUACCAAAACUCAAGGCUAAUGUGUGAGUGCAUUUGACUUUUCGGAUUGAAGGAUCAAACGGACCAAUGCUGCCAUUGAAGAAGUCGAAACUCCUCUAAAGCAAGUCUGCGAACUCGUCCAAUAUGAACAUGCUAAUAUCAUCUUGAGUCUAAAAAUAGAAGACAUAGAAGCCUUUUGGAAGAGGAACAAGGUACCAGUUUCCUUUGGGCUACAACUCACAUUUGGUGGGGGGGGGGGGGGGGGGGGGGGGGGGGGGGGGGGGGGGGGGGGGGGGGGGGGGGGGGGGGGGGGGGGGGGGGGGGGGGGGGGGGGGGGGGGGGGGGGGGGGGGGGGGGGGGGGGGGGGGGGGGGGGGGGGGGGGGGGGGGGGGGGGGGGGGGGGGGGGGGGGGGGGGGGAGU